UGGGGAAUUUUGGACAAUGGGGGAAACCCUGAUCCAGCCAUCCCGCGUGUGCGAUGAAGGCCUUCGGGUUGUAAAGCACUUUUGGCAGGAAAGAAACGUCAUGGGCUAAUACCCCGUGAAACUGACGGUACCUGCAGAAUAAGCACCGGCUAACUACGUGCCAGCAGCCGCGGUAAUACGUAGGGUGCAAGCGUUAAUCGGAAUUACUGGGCGUAAAGCGUGCGCAGGCGGUUCGGAAAGAAAGAUGUGAAAUCCCAGAGCUUAACUUUGGAACUGCAUUUUUAACUACCGAGCUAGAGUGUGUCAGAGGGAGGUGGAAUUCCGCGUGUAGCAGUGAAAUGCGUAGAUAUGCGGAGGAACACCGAUGGCGAAGGCAGCCUCCUGGGAUAACACUGACGCUCAUGCACGAAAGCGUGGGGAGCAAACAGG
RNAcentral lists this ribosomal RNA (429 nucleotides) under uncultured bacterium. Its description in RNAcentral is "bacterial SSU rRNA". It matches the Rfam family "Bacterial small subunit ribosomal RNA", at positions 355 to 776 of the family's 1533-position model. RNAcentral also lists the same sequence under 2 other names. The record is from RNAcentral.